UACUUGAAUCCCCAGGACUACAUUGAAU
RNAcentral lists this non-coding RNA (28 nucleotides) under Mus musculus (house mouse). The record is from RNAcentral. RNAcentral also lists the same sequence under 1 other name. Lineage: Eukaryota; Metazoa; Chordata; Mammalia; Rodentia; Muridae.